RNAcentral lists this small RNA (621 nucleotides) under Oryza sativa Japonica Group (Japanese rice). Its description in RNAcentral is "sRNA Os08g0191150". Lineage: Eukaryota; Viridiplantae; Streptophyta; Magnoliopsida; Poales; Poaceae. The record is from RNAcentral.
GCAAAUGUUCCUCUUGCCAUUACUUCAUCAUUACCACGACGGCUACCAUAUGAAUUGAAGUCCUUACGGUCCACACCACGCUCAAGCAAGUACUUGGCAGCAGGGCUGUCUUUGUGAAUGCUACCUGCUGGUGAAAUAUGGUCUGUCGUAAUGCUGUCCCCAAAGUUCAGUAAGCAGUAGGCAUUCUUCACCCCAUGGGGGCCAGGUGGGGACAUGGUCAUGUCCUUAAAGUAUGGAGGCUCAUGGAUAACACGUACUUCUGCAAUUUCUUCAGUUGAGGGCCAUAUGUCCCUGAAGAAGACUUCUUUACCAUCCUUUCCAACUCCAAUCGGCUCUUUCUCAAAAUCAAUGUCAACCUGAAAAGUACAAGUUCUAAUGUUAGCAGGCUCCCUGAGACAAAAGCAAAGAUAGGCAAAAUUUUAAUACCAUGCCAACCCUUCCAACAGAAUCGAGUUAAUAUGAGUAUCAAGGAGGAGAAAACAACACAAACUUACAGUGCCAGCAAGUGCAUAUGCAACCACAAGAGGCGGUGAAGCAAGGUAAUUAGCCCGGGUCAAUGGGUGCACACGACCCUCGAAGUUACGGUUGCCCGACAGAACAGCAGCAGCAACAACAUCUAUA